GGGAGUUUAGUAUAAUGGCAGUACUGCAGUCUCCAAAACUGCUUGUAUAGGGUUCGAUUCCUUUAACUCCCGCCA
RNAcentral lists this transfer RNA (75 nucleotides) under Mycoplasmopsis bovis. Its description in RNAcentral is "Mycoplasma bovis tRNA-Trp". It matches the Rfam family "tRNA". From Rfam's summary of the family: Transfer RNA (tRNA) molecules are approximately 80 nucleotides in length. Their secondary structure includes four short double-helical elements and three loops (D, anti-codon, and T loops). The record is from RNAcentral. Lineage: Bacteria; Bacillati; Mycoplasmatota; Mycoplasmoidales; Metamycoplasmataceae.